UACGAGUGCCUCGAGCGUUAUCCGGAAUCAUUGGGCGUAAAGGGUGUGUAGGUGGUCGCGUUAGUCUCUCGUUAAAUUCUUCGGCUUAACCGGGGGUCUGCGGGGGAAACGGCGCGACUUGAGGAUGCGAGGGGUCUGCGGAACUCAUAGUGUAGCGGUGAAAUGCGUUGAUAUUAUGGGGAACACCAAAAGCGAUGGCAGCAGACUGGAGCACUCCUGACACUGAAACACGAAAGCGUGGGUAGCGAAUGGG
This 253-nucleotide ribosomal RNA is filed under the name uncultured bacterium. RNAcentral describes it as "partial 16S ribosomal RNA". It matches the Rfam family "Bacterial small subunit ribosomal RNA", at positions 524 to 776 of the family's 1533-position model. The record is from RNAcentral.